This 75-nucleotide transfer RNA is filed under the name Helicobacteraceae bacterium. RNAcentral's name for it is "tRNA-Gly". It matches the Rfam family "tRNA". From Rfam's summary of the family: Transfer RNA (tRNA) molecules are approximately 80 nucleotides in length. Lineage: Bacteria; Pseudomonadati; Campylobacterota; Epsilonproteobacteria; Campylobacterales; Helicobacteraceae. The record is from RNAcentral.
GCGGAAGUAGCUCAGAGGUAGAGCUUUUGCUUCCCAAGCAAAAGGUCGCGGGUUCGAUUCCCGUCUUCCGCUCCA